This 484-nucleotide ribosomal RNA is filed under the name uncultured bacterium. Its description in RNAcentral is "partial 16S ribosomal RNA". It matches the Rfam family "Bacterial small subunit ribosomal RNA", at positions 30 to 507 of the family's 1533-position model. The record is from RNAcentral.
AUUGAACGCUGGCGGCAGGCCUAACACAUGCAAGUCGAGCGGAUGAAGGGAGCUUGCUCCUGGAUUCAGCGGCGGACGGGUGAGUAAUGCCUAGGAAUCUGCCUGGUAGUGGGGGAUAACGUCCGGAAACGGGCGCUAAUACCGCAUAUGUCCUGAGGGAGAAAGUGGGGGAUCUUCGGACCUCACGCUAUCAGAUGAGCCUAGGUCGGAUUAGCUAGUUGGUGGGGUAAAGGCCUACCAAGGCGACGAUCCGUAACUGGUCUGAGAGGAUGAUCAGUUACACUGGAACUGAGACACGGUCCAGACUCCUACGGGAGGCAGCAGUGGGGAAUAUUGGACAAUGGGCGAAAGCCUGAUCCAGCCAUGUCGCGUGUGUGAAGAAGGUCUUCGGAUUGUAAAGCACUUUAAGUUGGGAGGAAGGGCAGUAAGUUAAUACCUUGCUGUUUUGACGUUACCAACAGAAUAAGCACCGGCUAACUUCGUG